CGGGUGGUAAUGCCGGAUGCUCCAGUUGAUCGCAUGGUCUUCUGGGAAAGCUUUCGCGGUAUGGGAUGGGGUCGCGUCCUAUCAGCUUGACGGCGGGGUAACGGCCCACCGUGGCUUCGACGGGUAGCCGGCCUGAGAGGGCGACCGGCCACAUUGGGACUGAGAUACGGCCCAGACUCCUACGGGAGGCAGCAGUGGGGAAUAUUGCACAAUGGGCGCAAGCCUGAUGCAGCGACGCCGCGUGAGGGAUGGAGGCCUUCGGGUUGUAAACCUCUUUUAUCGGGGAGCAAGCGAGAGUGAGUUUACCCGUUGAAUAAGCACCGGCUAACUACGUGCCAGCAGCCGCGGUAAUACGUAGGGUGCAAGCGUUAUCCGGAAUUAUUGGGCGUAAAGGGCUCGUAGGCGGUUCGUCGCGUCCGGUGUGAAAGUCCAUCGCUUAACGGUGGAUCCGCGCCGGGUACGGGCGGGCUUGAGUGCGGUAGGGGAGACUGGAAUUCCCGGUGUAACGGUGGAAUGUGUAGAUAUCGUGAAAAGAACACC
This 540-nucleotide ribosomal RNA is filed under the name Bifidobacterium longum subsp. suillum. RNAcentral's name for it is "bacterial SSU rRNA". It matches the Rfam family "Bacterial small subunit ribosomal RNA", at positions 157 to 710 of the family's 1533-position model. The record is from RNAcentral. Lineage: Bacteria; Bacillati; Actinomycetota; Actinomycetes; Bifidobacteriales; Bifidobacteriaceae.